This 301-nucleotide ribosomal RNA is filed under the name uncultured bacterium. RNAcentral describes it as "partial 16S ribosomal RNA". It matches the Rfam family "Bacterial small subunit ribosomal RNA", at positions 509 to 808 of the family's 1533-position model. The record is from RNAcentral.
CAGUCGCCGCGGUAAUACGAAGGGUGCAAGCGUUACUCGGAAUUACUGGGCGUAAAGCGUGCGUAGGUGGUGGUUUAAGUCCGUUGUGAAAGCCCUGGGCUCAACCUGGGAAUUGCAGUGGAUACUGGAUCACUAGAGUGUGGUAGAGGAUAGUGGAAUUUCCGGUGUAGCAGUGAAUGCGUAGAGAUCGGAAGGAACAUCUGUGGCGAAGGCGACUAUCUGGGCCAACACUGACGCUCAUGCACGAAAGCGUGGGGAGCAAACAGGAUUAGAGACCCGCGUAGUCCCUGUCUCUUAUACA